Long non-coding RNA from Myripristis murdjan (pinecone soldierfish), 1161 nucleotides. RefSeq lists it as uncharacterized. The record is from RefSeq and is a predicted model, not a curated record. NCBI's taxonomy places the organism in Eukaryota, Metazoa, Chordata, Actinopteri, Holocentriformes, Holocentridae. The transcript has 3 exons.
UGUCAAAAUAGCUGCUGUGAGAAACUAUAAUCUAUAAUCCAGUGGCCCUCCGUAAGAGCAGCAGCUGUGGUUGCCAGUUUCAGACAAAUUAAAAAUGCUGCAUCUUAGGCUGAUCAUCUCUCAAAAGCCUCUACAGUUAAGCAUCAGCUGCUUACUGUGAGCUGUGAGGGAAGUGCAGCAGGUGGGUCAUGGUGACAAACGGGUGGUUGAGGGUCUUCAUGGGCGUGAUGCGCUUGUCUGCGUCCAGCGUCAGCAUCUUCUUCAGCAGGUCUAUGAACUCCCGCCGGUCAGCCUUCUCUGCCAGGAUGUCCGUCCCCUCUAGGCUUGUCAUGUUCACCUGCAGCCGGACAAAAAGUCGAUGAUAUCAAACAGCUACAGGUAUGGGAGAUGGUGAGGCAGCCUGACCUGAUCGUACUCUGAGGCACCAGGAUAGAGCGGCCAUCCCAAGAACAGUUCAGCGAUGACACAUCCUAAAGACCACAUGUCGAUCGCUUCGCAGAAAGGAAGGCCCAGAAUGAUCUCUGGCGCUCUGCAAACACAUCAAAUUUGACUGAUGACAAGACUGCAGCAGUGAACUACAUGUGAACUGAGUGUUUUGAAUAGUGUUUUUAAUCGCACCCACCUGUAGUACCGUGACUGCAGAUAGGUGGAGCAAACGGCUUUGGACACGUGGCUGGCUGAGCCAAAAUCAAUGACUUUCACCCUGUACGGCUGCCUCAGAGGGUCCACCAGCAUAAUGUUUUCAGGCUUCAGGUCGGCAUGGAUCAAGCCCAAGCUUUUCAGCUUCAUCAGCGCCGUGGCUACCUGCUGCAGCACGGGCCGUAUGGACUUGAGCAGCAGGGGGCUGAACUUGCUGUGCUUCAGGAAGUCGUAAAGGUUCUGCUCCAGCAUCUCGAACACAAGGCACGUGUGGUUCUUAUGCUGGAAACACUCGUACGAACGGACAAAGUUGAAUUCAUCGGCGUUCUCUGUGCUAAGCCUGCUCAGAAUGCUCACCUGCAGGGGGGAGAGAGAAGAUGGCAGACAUAAGUGUGUCAUUAGAUCAGGCUUAGUCAUUCUUGAUGUGUAUGAUUUCACUAAUAAUGUAAAAAAAAAAAAAAAAAAAAACAACACUAACAAUUUUAAUCAAUGCAGCAGCUUCGUGUCUGCAUUUGUUAUAAG